This 843-nucleotide ribosomal RNA is filed under the name Multiseptospora thysanolaenae. RNAcentral describes it as "eukaryotic LSU rRNA". It matches the Rfam family "Eukaryotic large subunit ribosomal RNA", at positions 34 to 910 of the family's 3401-position model. Lineage: Eukaryota; Fungi; Ascomycota; Dothideomycetes; Pleosporales; Parabambusicolaceae. The record is from RNAcentral.
UUAAGCAUAUCAAUAAGCGGAGGAAAAGAAACCAACAGGGAUUGCCCUAGUAACRGCGAGUGAAGCGGCAACAGCUCAAAUUUGAAAUCUGGCCCUCAUGAGRGGGUCCGAGUUGUAAUUUGCAGAGGGUGCUUUGGCAUCAGAGGCGGUCUAAGUUCCUUGGAACAGGACAUCACAGAGGGUGAGAAUCCCGUACGUGGUCGCCCCUCGUUGCCGUGUAUUGCCCCUUCGACGAGUCGAGUUGUUUGGGAAUGCAGCUCUAAAUGGGAGGUAAAUUUCUUCUAAAGCUAAAUACUGGCCAGAGACCGAUAGCGCACAAGUAGAGUGAUCGAAAGAUGAAAAGCACUUUGGAAAGAGAGUCAAAUAGCACGUGAAAUUGUUGAAAGGGAAGCGCUUGCAGAGAGACUUGCCCGUAGGCGAUUACCUCCUACCGGGCAGGCCGGCAUCAGUUUGGGCAGUCGGAUAAAGGCCUCUGUCACGUAUCUUCCUUCGGGAUGACCUUAUAGGGGAGGCGUAAUGCGGCUAGCCUGGACUGAGGUCCGCGCGUAUGCUAGGAUGCCGGCGUAAUGUCUGCAAGCGGCCCGUCUUGAAACACGGACCAAGGAGUCUAACAUCUAUGCGAGUGUUUGGGUGUCAAGCCCGGACGCGCAAUGAAAGUGAACGGAGGUGGGAACCCUCUCUGGGGGUGCACCAUCGACCGAUCCUGAUGUCUUCGGAUGGAUUUGAGUAAGAGCAUAGCUGUUGGGACCCGAAAGAUGGUGAACUAUGCUUGAAUAGGGUGAAGCCAGAGGAAACUCUGGUGGAGGCUCGCAGCGGUUCUGACGUGCAAAUCGAUCGUCAAAU